UGGCGAAAUUGUGGACAUCACAGGAGCAACCACAGCCAUCACAGCAGCAGCCAUCAGUGCAGCCACCAUCACAGCCACCACCACAGCCAUCAACAUUGCCACAGGCACAGGUGUGGCCAGGGCCACAGCCACCACAACCACAGCCACCACCUCAGCCAACACAACCAAGUGCUCAAGCCCGUUGUACUCAGCACACCUCCAAAUGCAAUCUCCAGGAUUCCCAAAGGCCAGGUCACCAGCCUACUUCAGCGGGGAUCUACUAAGCUGGAGGGCAAUCUCUGUAUCAACAACAGAUUCCAGGGUCUCAUGAACCCAUGCCAAUCUAGCCCCAUCAGAAACACUGGGUAUUCACAACUCAAGUCUACCAAUUACAUACAGCAGUGGUGAUCCAGAGAUUGAACCCAGGACCCCAUGGCCAUCCCCAAAAUGCAGAUGAGCAACCACAUCUUCUCAGCAUCCAGCAAUAUCUCCACUCCAAAAGCCACCCACUCUAGAAGAGGAGGCUGCCAGGAAUAAAAUCCCAAGGAGAGAUGAGGCCUCUGGGACCAGAGAGGGCCCUGGUGCUAAGGUGGUGGUGGAACAGAACCCAGCAGCCUUCAGCUGGAUACUGAUAGCUUCAUCUCCUGAAGGCUUUCAGAUGACAGCAGCUGGACCCACCGUUUUACCUACCUGUGUCCACUCACAUGGGCUCAGGAUGUGGACUUAGAGGCUCUCCUUUAAUAAAUAUCUUAUACAA
RNAcentral lists this long non-coding RNA (736 nucleotides) under Homo sapiens (human). RNAcentral describes it as "non-protein coding lnc-LINC00854-1:30". Lineage: Eukaryota; Metazoa; Chordata; Mammalia; Primates; Hominidae. The record is from RNAcentral.